CUUGGUCAAGCGGUUAAGACACCGCCCUUUCACGGCGGUAACACGGGUUCGAGUCCCGUAGCGCA
This 65-nucleotide transfer RNA is filed under the name Staphylococcus sp. RNAcentral's name for it is "tRNA-Glu". It matches the Rfam family "tRNA", at positions 6 to 65 of the family's 71-position model. From Rfam's summary of the family: Transfer RNA (tRNA) molecules are approximately 80 nucleotides in length. Their secondary structure includes four short double-helical elements and three loops (D, anti-codon, and T loops). Lineage: Bacteria; Bacillati; Bacillota; Bacilli; Caryophanales; Staphylococcaceae. The record is from RNAcentral.